Acanthaster planci (crown-of-thorns starfish) is the source of this 1429-nucleotide long non-coding RNA. The record is from RefSeq and is a predicted model, not a curated record. NCBI's taxonomy places the organism in Eukaryota, Metazoa, Echinodermata, Asteroidea, Valvatida, Acanthasteridae.
UAUUUUGUGGAGAUACAUUAGAAACACUGAUGAUUUCUGCGAGUGAUGCUCUGGAUAUUGAUGGCUCUACUGUCUACACUUCAACAGGAGGACAGAUAUCAAAUAUUUCAUUGAUCAGGGAUGAUGAAACCUUGUAUAUUUCGGAUGGAAGCCCAUUCAUAGAUCCGAAAUUGAACUGUUCCCUACUAAGUGUUGGCGCUAGCAUCGGUCGAAGUAUAUGUACAAAUAACAGUGACUGGGUCACCCUCAAUGUUGGUGGGAAGCACUUCACAACUACAAGGAGUACACUGAAAGGCCGGGAGCCAGAAAGCAUGUUGGCUAGAAUGUUUGCAGAUGAUGGUAAGUUGUAUCCUUAACUCCUGAUCCCUGAGUCAUGUAGAUUUAGUUUUAAAACAGUAAGCUGAGGAAAAAUAAAUUUAUCAAUCAUUUAUUAAGCUAAAGCCAAUAAAAAGGGAAACCACAAUGUGUAUUAUAACCCAACAGGUUAUAUGGAUCGACACAAAAGGAUGACUUGGGACAAAGUUGUAAUGUAGUCGAUGUGGUUUAUUCGGCCGGCUCAAUGUGCGGCUCUCUCUGCCCAAUUGCCAGAGCUCACAGGGAUUUUAUACAUUCGUUGGACAUUCCAUUUUUUAUCCACCAUACAAGUUUCUUUGCCUUAUUAGGUAUUAGCUACUAGUCUUUGAAUAUUAAUACAGUGUGCAUGAAUAUGUUUGUUUCAUUUGGAUUUGAGGGUAGGGUUAGUCAAAUUAAUGAACACUGACUUUUCCUUAUAAGGCCGGUGGGCUGCUUCAUGACCCAUCCGGUCCAGCCCUGCUUUCCUCCCCAAGGGCCUUGUGAUUCCAUUAGUCAUUCCUUAAGUGAGGCUCAUUACUUGGAAGCAGUUCUACUGUUGAAGGUCAAUCCGUGCAUUGAACUUAAGUAGCAAUACAACAUGUGCUAUUGUAAUACGGUGAUAGUAUUUUCAUCUGAAUUUUUCUAUUACAAGAAAGAAAAGAGUGUGCACACAUUCAUGAAAACCUCCCCAUAUGAGAUUAGAGGGAGGCUUUACAAGGGAGCAGGAAUGUGUAUAUACAGUGGUUAAGUUUUAUCAGUGUUUGGGAAAAUGGUUAUAUUAUGUAAGCAGUAAAUAAUUGAAUAAUCUGCUAUUUCAUGGAUCUCACAUAAUGGAUCUGCCUGGUGGCGUAGUCUGGUGGCCUGACCUUUUUCUAAGGCAAGCAGGGUUCCACUGAGUCCAAACCAUAAAUUUCAUAUUUCACAUGGAAAUUCUUGCAGUAAUUAUAGAAAAAGUUGUUGUUUAAAAAUAAUGACUCAGCCAUGUGCUGAAGAAACUCAAUAAAAAUUGUUUGCGAGGUUUGUAGGAAGGGCACACCUAUUCUGUAAUUCUUACAUCUCGAGGACAUCGUCAGGAUGUCCAAGAUGUAGCUAUGUG